UGACUUAUAAACAACAGGAAUUUAUUUUUCACAAUUCUAGAGUGUGGGUGUCCAGGAUCAGGGUGCCAGCAGGGUCAGGUUCUGGUAGCUGCCAGCUUCUGGUUGUCUCUUCAUGUGGUGGAGGGCAGAGAGAGGGAGCAAAUCUCCUGGCUCCUAAAGGGCACUCAUCCCAUUCAUGAGGGCUCCCUUUAUGACCUCAUCCAAUUCCAGUUACCUCCCACAGGCCCCAUCUCCCAAUACCAUCACCUCGGGCAGUAAGGUUUCAACAUGUGAAUGUUGAGGGGACACAGAUGUUCAACCGGUAAAGAAAGGAGCCAGCUCCCUUAACAGCCUUGCCCUCUGUACGAGGAGAUACACAGAGAAACCAAACAUGCAGUUGCCUGCAUGGUCCUUACUGGUGUGUUUCAUGGUGUGUUUCCCCAAGGAUUCAGUUGCCUGGACCCAGAGCAGUGACUGACUCUGCUGAAUUAGAAAAGUGGAAAAACAUCUUUUUCCUGCCCAACAGCACCUUUCACCCUCUUUGCCAGCUUUAAGACUUCAAGACCACCUCCAAAAACUCCUGAAGGUGGUAUACAGAUUCCACUGUGUUUGGAAGAGGCAGGAUGGAGCACUAGAGAUAAAAAGAGAAAGGGAGAGACAGGAGAAAAGGAAGAAUGACCACUAUCCUGCAUAGCUGCCCAGCAUCUGCUAAGAAAAUAAAAAUGGCUAUAUCUGCAGCCAGAGGCUUGUACCAUCAACCACACACAGAUCAAUAUGUGUUUAUUGGCAUUGACUCUUCUUUUUGUCAGUUUCUUUUCAUUUUUUUCCUUUUGACUUUAAAAAUAGUCUCUUCUUUUAGGAGAGAAAGGGAUGUCCUUAAUUUAACUCUUACAAAUCUUAUCUAAUGCAUAGUUAUCCAGAGGCUUUACUUUAUUCAAAUGAGAGAUAUCAGUAAGUUUUAGGUUACUGAAAAGGAAAGAUGUGAUUUAUUAAAAUCAAAUGUUUUCAGAGUAUGAAAAGAUGUAACCUAGAAGAUAUGAUGGGGAGGAAUUCCACAGGCCUAUGGCAAUUUAAAUGUGUUCAAGCCAGUCUCAAAUGAAGGAUAUUUUAGAUUGUUCAUUACUAUCUAAAAGAAAAGGAAGAGGAAAAGGAGAAAAAAAGGAGAAGCAGCAAUUGCCAAGAGACAGUUGUUCAAUCCAAUAAAGUAAUGAUCUGUGCAAACUCUAAUUAUUGUAUUUGCAAAACAAUAUGUGUAUAAUUUGUGAACUUUCCCCCUCUCUUUCUAACACAAUAAAGGAUUCAUUUCAUAAAAACAUUUUGUGUUUCUUUAGAAGAUUUGGACAAAAACAAUGCAUCUUUAACUCUGAAAACACAAUAAUGGAUCCUUGAAAGAUUUAUCUGAAAUCAAAUGCAGUUGUCAUUCUAUAUCGAUUAUCUUGGCUAUUCAUUAUCAUAUCCAGUCCAUCAUUUAUAUGCAGAUGACGCUAUCACUUAUGGUAGUAGAUUAUGCUGGGAGGAAGCUUAAUAUUAUCUUCAAGCUGAUUUAAAUGAGCUUUAAGAUCAUCUGGCACAAUCUAACUUACUCUUAAAUAUUAAUGGAACAAAGAUCAUGUUAUUUGGCUCAAAACAAAAAUUGGGGGAAACUGAAAAACUGGCAUGCAGCAUGACCUUGUCGAAAAAUCUCAACUAUUCAAGAUUUGAGGUCUAUCCUGUCUUCACCUGAGACCAAAAAUAUAACUGAUUAGCAUGGAAGGAUGGAAGAAUCAAAACUUCUUAUUCAAGUACAUAUAGUUCUUAUAGUUCUUUUUCUUCUCCUUAAGAAAAAUUGUUUUCCAUCUCUGCAGUGUUGGAGUUAUGUGCCUUGGG
This 1845-nucleotide long non-coding RNA is filed under the name Homo sapiens (human). RNAcentral's name for it is "HSALNT0322965". Lineage: Eukaryota; Metazoa; Chordata; Mammalia; Primates; Hominidae. The record is from RNAcentral.